This 253-nucleotide ribosomal RNA is filed under the name uncultured bacterium. RNAcentral's name for it is "partial 16S ribosomal RNA". It matches the Rfam family "Bacterial small subunit ribosomal RNA", at positions 524 to 776 of the family's 1533-position model. The record is from RNAcentral.
UACGAAGGGGGCUAGCGUUGCUCGGAUUUACUGGGCGUAAAGGGCGCGUAGGCGGAUGACCAAGUUGGGGGUGAAAUCCCGGGGCUUAACCUCGGAACUGCCUCCAAAACUGGUCGUCUUGAGUUUGGGAGAGGUGUGUGGAACUCCGAGUGUAGAGGUGAAAUUCGUAGAUAUUCGGAAGAACACCAGUGGCGAAGGCGACACACUGGCCCAAUACUGACGCUGAGGCGCGAAAGCGUGGGGAGCAAACCGG